RNAcentral lists this ribosomal RNA (243 nucleotides) under uncultured bacterium. RNAcentral describes it as "partial 16S ribosomal RNA". It matches the Rfam family "Bacterial small subunit ribosomal RNA", at positions 15 to 245 of the family's 1533-position model. The record is from RNAcentral.
GAUCCUGGCUCAGGAUGAACGCUAGCGACAGGCCUAACACAUGCAAGUCGAGGGGCAGCGAAGAGGUAGCAAUACCUUUGUCGGCGACCGGCGCACGGGUGAGUAACACGUAUGCAAUCCACCUGUAACAGGGGGAUAACCCGGAGAAAUCCGGACUAAUACCCCAUAAUAUGGGCGCUCCGCAUGGAGAGCCCGAUUAAAGAGAGCAAUUUUGGUUACAGACGAGCAUGCGCUCCAUUUAGG